Non-coding RNA from Cinara cedri, 862 nucleotides. The record is from the annotation of a GenBank genome assembly. NCBI's taxonomy places the organism in Eukaryota, Metazoa, Arthropoda, Insecta, Hemiptera, Aphididae.
AUAAAUUCUUUUAUAGUUUUAUGAGUAUCAUAGAUCGUACACAAAUGCCGAAUACCCGAUUGUUACGGCAGAGAAGACAUACCGCUAUCAGACGAGUGUCAUAUACGCAGAGCCGUAUUUAGGAUAUUAUAUUGGCCGCCAGACUAGCUUAUAUGGGUCACUUGGAGAACUUUUGAUAGGUGGGCCUAAAUUUGAUGAUGAUUUUUGUUUUUGUGUUUUUUGGUAAUAAUUUUUUUUGGCAAUAGUUCACUUACGAGUAUAAUAUAGACGGAUAGCACGUAACAAUAAUUAUAUAAAUCACCGCUGUCAGUCAAAACCUCGUAUAACGACCGGUCAGGAACCAAUGCACAGUAGAAACGACCGGGCAAUCGGCCAAAAUCUCGAUCGUAUUUAUAUUUAGGAAGACCUAGGAGUAACGUGUGGUAAGUGUAAAGAUGAGAUUCCGUUCGGACCAAAGAAAAAAAAAAAAAAACAUGACAUAUAUUUGGACCAAUUUGACAUUUUUACCAUCUAGUAUUUAUUUUUUUUCUGAUUCGAAGGCGAUAUUUACAGUUCGCCGAUUGUACCGCACGGGCUUUUAUAACACUACGACAAAUACCUACUUAACCGUAUCUCGGAUAUAUUAUACGAAUUUAAAAGGUAAUCGAGUAGAGGUUUUCAAAACGAACUUCAUCGUCGUGAUUCUCGGGCACGGAUUUAUACGCACUAAAAUGUAUUAAAAUAUGUAACAAUGUGUCGGGUGGCGCGUAAUUUCCUUUGAAAUACGCUUCAAAUAUUAUAUGCAGUUAAACCAUUUUUCUGAGAGAAGCCAGGUAUGUAUUGGUCUUAUUACGGUGCGCGUAUUCCUCCCUUUUUUUCUUUU